This 1081-nucleotide ribosomal RNA is filed under the name uncultured Rhizaria. RNAcentral's name for it is "SSU rRNA". It matches the Rfam family "Eukaryotic small subunit ribosomal RNA", at positions 577 to 1674 of the family's 1831-position model. The record is from RNAcentral.
CGGUAAUUCCAGCUCCAAUAGCGUAUACUAAAGUUGUUGCAGUUAAAAAGCUCGUAGUUGGAUUUCUGUGGGGACGGAGCGGCCGGCCGCAACUUGCGGUUCGAGCUAGCGCUUUCCCUACAUCCUGCCGCGAACCGUGCUACCAUUAGUUUGGUGGCGCCGGGGAUCGGCUCGUUUACUUUGAGAAAAAUAGAGUGUUCAAAGCAGGCCACACGCCUUGAAUAAGUUAGCAUGGAAUAAUAAUAAAGGACUUCGGUUCUAUUUUGUUGGUGUUCGGGACUGAAGUAAUGAUUGAUAGGGACAGUUGGGGCGGUCAGUAUUCCAAAGCGAGAGGUGAAAUUCUUAGACCUUCGGAAGACUAACAGCUGCGAAAGCGUUCCGCAAGGAUGUUCCCUUUGAUCAAGGACGAAAGUUGGGGGAUCGAAGACGAUCAGAUACCGUCGUAGUCUCAACUAUAAACUAUACCAGCUAGGGAUCGGCCAACGUUAAAUUAUCCGACUUGGUCGGCACCUUAUGAGAAAUCAAAGCAUCUGGGUUCCGGGGGGAGUAUGGUCGCAAGGCUGAAACUUAAAGGAAUUGACGGAAGGGCACCACCAGCCGUGGAGCCUGUGGCUUAAUUUGACUCAACACGGGAAAACUUACCAGGUCCAGACAUAGUAAGGAUUGACAGAUUGAUAGCUCUUUCUUGAUUCUGUGGGUGGUGGUGCAUGGCCGUUCUUAGUUGGUGGAGUGAUUUGUCUGGUUAAUUCCGUUAACGAACGAGACCCCAGCCUGCUAAAUAGCGCGGUUGAGCUUUGCUCGGCGCGAGCUUCUUAGAGGGACUAUGAUGCGCGAUAGCACAUGGAAGUUUGGGGCAAUAACAGGUCUGUGAUGCCCUUAGAUGUUCUGGGCCGCACACGGGCUACACUGGCGCCUGCAACGAGCAUAUCAGCUGGCCCGAGAGGGUCUUGGCUAAUCUUUUGAACCGGCGCCGUGCUUGGGAUUGACCAUUGCAAUUGUUGGUCAUGCAACGAGGAAUGCCUUGUAAACGCGAGUCAUCAACUCGCAUUGAAUACGUCCCUGCUCUUUGUACACACCGCCC